GGGUCAGUAGGUUGGUCGUGCCACCGGUACGUACUGGUCUCACUGAUUCCUCCUUCCUGAAGAACCGUAAUGCCAUUAAUUUGGUGUUGCGGGGAAACAGGACUGUUACUUUGAAAAAAUUAGAGUGUUUAAAGCAAGCUAACGCUUGAAUACAUUAGCAUGGAAUAAUGAAUUAGGACUAUCGAUCCUAUUUUGUUGGUUUCUAGGAUUGACGUA
Molecule: ribosomal RNA, 216 nt
Filed under: Glomeromycotina sp.
Lineage: Eukaryota; Fungi; Glomeromycota
Description: partial small subunit ribosomal RNA
Rfam family: Eukaryotic small subunit ribosomal RNA (bases 40-216)
Source: RNAcentral